This 511-nucleotide ribosomal RNA is filed under the name uncultured marine eukaryote. Its description in RNAcentral is "bacterial SSU rRNA". It matches the Rfam family "Eukaryotic small subunit ribosomal RNA", at positions 613 to 1121 of the family's 1831-position model. The record is from RNAcentral.
UUGCAGUUAAAAAGCUCGUAGUUGGAUUUCUGCGGGGGCGGGGCGGCCGGUUGCUUAUAGCAACUCGAGCUAGCACUUCCCCUGCAUCCUGCCGCGAACCGUGCUACCAUUAGUUUGGUGGCGCCGGGGAUCGGCUCGUUUUCUUUGAGAAAAAUAGAGUGUUCAAAGCAGGCCACACGCCUUGAAUAAGUUAGCAUGGAAUAAUGAUAAAGGACUUCGGUUCUAUUUUGUUGGUGUUCGGGACUGAAGUAAUGAUUGAUAGGGACAGUUGGGGCGGUCCGUAUUCCAAAGCGAGAGGUGAGAUUCUUAGACCUUCGGAAGACGAACAGCUGCGAAAGCGUUCCGCAAGGAUGUUCCCUUUGAUCAAGAACGAAAGUUGGGGGAUCGAAGACGAUCAGAUACCGUCGUAGUCUCAACUAUAAACUAUACCAGCUAGGGAUCGGCCAACGUUUAAUUACACCGACUUGGUCGGCACCUUAUGAGAAAUCCAAAGCAUCUGGGUUCCGGGGGG